AGAGUUUGAUCCUGGCUCAGAACGAACGCUGGCGGCAGGCUUAACACAUGCAAGUCGAACGCGUCCUUCGGGACGAGUGGCAGACGGGUGAGUAACGCGUGGGAACCUACCUCAUGGUGCGGAAUAACUCGAGGAAACUUGAGCUAAUACCGCAUGUGCCCUUCGGGGGAAAGAUUUAUCGCCAUGGGAUGAGCCCACGUCCUAUUAGCUAGUUGGUAGGGUAAUGGCCUACCAAGGCGACGAUCCGUAGCUGAUCUGAGAGGAUGAUCAGCCACACUGGGACUGAGACACGGCCCAGACUCCUACGGGAGGCAGCAGUGGGGAAUCUUGGACAAUGGGCGCAAGCCUGAUCCAGCCAUGCCGCGUGAGUGAUGAAGGCCCUAGGGUUGUAAAGCUCUUUCACCGGAGAAGAUAAUGACGGUAUCCGGAGAAGAAGCCCCGGCUAACUUCGUGCCAGCAGCCGCGGUAAA
Molecule: ribosomal RNA, 470 nt
Filed under: uncultured bacterium
Lineage: Bacteria
Description: bacterial SSU rRNA
Rfam family: Bacterial small subunit ribosomal RNA
Source: RNAcentral